CCUACGGGGGGCAGCAGUGGGGAAUAUUGGGCAAUGGGCGAAAGCCUGACCCAGCAACGCCGCGUGAAGGAAGAAGGCUUUCGGGUUGUAAACUUCUUUUGACAGGGAAGAGCAGAAGACGGUACCUGUCGAAUAAGCCACGGCUAACUACGUGCCAGCAGCCGCGGUAAUACGUAGGUGGCAAGCGUUGUCCGGAUUUACUUGGUGGAAAGGGCCGGUAGCCGGGCUGACAAGGCAGAUGUGAAAGCCGGGGGCUCAACCCCCGAACUUCAUUUGAAACUGUUUGGCUUGAGUAUCGGAGAGGGAAGCGGAAUUCCAUGUGUAGCGGUGAAAUGCGUAGAGAUUUGGAGGAACACCAGUGGCGAAGGCGGCCUGCUGGACGACAACUGACGGUGAGGCGCGAAAGCGUGGGGAGCAAACAGGAUUAGAUACCCUGGUAGUC
This 442-nucleotide ribosomal RNA is filed under the name uncultured bacterium. RNAcentral describes it as "partial 16S ribosomal RNA". It matches the Rfam family "Bacterial small subunit ribosomal RNA", at positions 338 to 795 of the family's 1533-position model. The record is from RNAcentral.